UGGGGAAUAUUGCACAAUGGGGGAAACCCUGAUGCAGCAACGCCGCGUGAGCGAAGAAGUAUUUCGGUAUGUAAAGCUCUAUCAGCAGGGAAGAAAAUGACGGUACCUGACUAAGAAGCCCCGGCUAACUACGUGCCAGCAGCCGCGGUAAUACGUAGGGGGCAAGCGUUAUCCGGAUUUACUGGGUGUAAAGGGAGUGUAGGUGGCAAUACAAGUCAGAAGUGAAAGCCCGGGGCUUAACCCCGGGACUGCUUUUGAAACUGUAUAGCUUGAGUGCAGGAGAGGUAAGCGGAAUUCCUAGUGUAGCGGUGAAAUGCGUAGAUAUUAGGAGGAACACCAGUGGCGAAGGCGGCUUACUGGACUGUAACUGACACUGAGGCUCGAAAGCGUGGGGAGCAAACAGGAUUAGAUACCCUGGUAGU
RNAcentral lists this ribosomal RNA (422 nucleotides) under uncultured Lachnospiraceae bacterium. RNAcentral describes it as "bacterial SSU rRNA". It matches the Rfam family "Bacterial small subunit ribosomal RNA", at positions 355 to 794 of the family's 1533-position model. The record is from RNAcentral. Lineage: Bacteria; Bacillati; Bacillota; Clostridia; Lachnospirales; Lachnospiraceae.